GGAUGCGAUCAUAGCAGCACUAAAGCACCGGAUCCCAUCAGAACUCCGAAGUUAAGCGUCCUUGGGUGAGAGUAGUACUAGGAUGGGUGACCUCGUGUUGCAUUCC
This 106-nucleotide ribosomal RNA is filed under the name Triticum aestivum (bread wheat). The record is from RNAcentral. Lineage: Eukaryota; Viridiplantae; Streptophyta; Magnoliopsida; Poales; Poaceae.